GCAUAUCAAUAAGCGGAGGAAAAAGAAACCAACAGGGAUUGCCCUAGUAACGGCGAGUGAAGCGGCAACAGCUCAAAUUUGAAAGCUGGCCUUCGGGUCCGCGUUGUAAUUUGCAGAGGAAGCUUUGGGCGCGGCGCUGUCUGAGUCCCCUGGAACGGGGCGCCAAAGAGGGUGAGAGCCCCGUAUAGACGGAUGCCUAGCCUGUGUAAAGCUCCUUCGACGAGUCGAGUAGUUUGGGAAUGCUGCUCAAAAUGGGAGGUAAAUUUCUUCUAAAGCUAAAUACCGGCCAGAGACCGAUAGCGCACAAGUAGAGUGAUCGAAAGAUGAAAAGCACUUUGAAAAGAGGGUUAAAUAGCACGUGAAAUUGUUGAAAGGGAAGCGCUUGUGACCAGACUUGCGCCGGGCUGAUCAUCCGGUGUUCUCACCGGUGCACUCUGCCCGGCUCAGGCCAGCAUCGGUUCUCGCGGGGGGAUAAAGGCUUAGGGAAUGUAGCUCCUCCGGGAGUGUUAUAGCCCUCUGCGUAAUACCCUCGCGGGGACCGAGGUCUGCGCUCUGCAAGGAUGCUGGCGUAAUGGUCAUCAGCGACCCGUCUUGAAACACGGACCAAGGAGUCAAGGUUUUGCGCGAGUGUUUGGGUGUAAAACCCGCACGCGUAAUGAAAGUGAACGUAGGUGAGAGCUUCGGCGCAUCAUCGACCGAUCCUGAUGUACUCGGAUGGAUUUGAGUAAGAGCGUUAAGCCUUGGACCCGAAAGAUGGUGAACUAUGCUUGGAUAGGGUGAAGCCAGAGGAAACUCUGGUGGAGGCUCGCAGCGGUUCUGACGUGCAAAUCGAUCGUCAAAUCUGAGCAUGGGGGGCGAAAGACUAAUCGAACCAUCUAGUAGCUGGUUACCGCCGA
This 896-nucleotide ribosomal RNA is filed under the name Mycothermus thermophilus. RNAcentral describes it as "partial large subunit ribosomal RNA". It matches the Rfam family "Eukaryotic large subunit ribosomal RNA", at positions 38 to 964 of the family's 3401-position model. Lineage: Eukaryota; Fungi; Ascomycota; Sordariomycetes; Sordariales; Chaetomiaceae. The record is from RNAcentral.